This is a long non-coding RNA of Helianthus annuus (common sunflower), 519 nucleotides long. RefSeq lists it as uncharacterized. NCBI's taxonomy places the organism in Eukaryota, Viridiplantae, Streptophyta, Magnoliopsida, Asterales, Asteraceae. The transcript is spliced from 3 exons. The record is from RefSeq and is a predicted model, not a curated record.
CAUGAUACAGAACGAUACCUUUAUUAUUUUCUUGCAACGCAUCAUCAAUUUAAUGAACGGAUGUGUUGGUUCAUUUGAAGAGGAUAUCCUUUUCUUUAAUAAUAAAUGAAGAGAAAAAUUGGCGAAGCGGUAUCUGCUCUUUCAUCUAUUCCAAAAGGUUAUGUGUUGUUUGUAUCUUAAACAAAGGUUGAUAUGUUUGAGAAAGAUGAAUGGGGUAGAUAAGUCAUGAGAAUCAACGGGGUGGCUUGAACCGGUAACAUGAAAGACGAAAAUAACUCACAGAUUCAGGUGGUAGAAAGGCGAAAAUGAUCAAGUCUUGGAAGAGGGACAAUGAUGGAAAGAUUUAGUGAUGUUUUGUUUAAAAAUAUAGGUUUUCUUAUCGGGUCAAUUUGACCUAGUUAUUUGCAUUUUGGAGUUUAACUUUAAUGUUUGUUUUAGUCAAGUGCUAGUAUAUCAAUGUUGUAAUGGGUUAUGCUUGUUUUAUAAAAAGCUUGGUUAUUAAGCAGGUUUUGUUUUUGU